Long non-coding RNA from Phyllopteryx taeniolatus (common seadragon), 2821 nucleotides. RefSeq lists it as uncharacterized. The record is from RefSeq and is a predicted model, not a curated record. Lineage: Eukaryota; Metazoa; Chordata; Actinopteri; Syngnathiformes; Syngnathidae. The transcript is spliced from 3 exons.
UCAAACUCCAUUUUUUUCCUUAAAACCUUCCGACUGCUUGUAUUCAGGUCUUUAAUCUUGUCAAUAGUUUUAGGGUCCGUCCCUCAUAUCUUCAAUCUCAAAAAUGGCCGAGGUUUUCAAGAGUGGUAUGCGCUAUGCAUAAUUUGAAGUGGACUUUUCAUGCUCACUUUUCAUUGAUUUUUAUCUCCUCACAAUGUAAAACAGUUCCCAAAGUGCCUUAGUAUAACAUGUCUGUGACAUGAUUGUGUCAAAAUACCCCGAAGGUCAUGUUUUAAAUCCUGUUAGUGAACGCUAAUCUGUGCAUCCAACAAAAUUCAAUGCAGUUCUGCUUACCUUUUUGUUUUCACAUAGUGUUUCAUACAGUGACUGGCUGUGGCUUUAAUGCGGCAGAUCAUUCACCCAGCCUCGCAAUUCGUGGCUUCAAGCUUUCACACAUUUUCAGAAAUAGGCAGCUGACAACAGAUUGACUUGGUGGUUUAAUUUCAAGCUUCACACACUCCAGAGACCCAACUAUCUGUAUGUAAGCAAUUCAACUUCAAUUCUCCGUAAUAUGUGCCCUUUUACAGAAUUUCUUAUACAUGAUGCAGGAAAAAUAUCAACUUCAGGGAUUGUUUGUCUGUGGAAGACAGCGUUUGAAUGGACCACAUGCACGGCAAUGCAUUAAGCAUUCCGGUGGAAGGGAUUACGAGGUGUACGAGUUUCCAGUGUCCACGUUUCAUGCUCGGUUUUGAGUUUCAACACGUUCCCCACAUUGCCACUAUGCAUUUGACUUCCGGCUGGUAGCAUGACACUAACUCUGAAGCGUCGAGUACAUAGUCCAUUGCUGACCCGCAAUCCUUUUCAACUUUUAAUGGUCUUUAUCAAUUUUCUUCAAACUGUUACUGAUUGUUUCUGUUUUUCAAAGCAAUAAUUUUGAAUCAUAUCCAAACCAUCGUGAUAAAUUAGUCUUACUGAAAUCCUAGAAAGAAAACAAAAACAACUGGAGUUGACGAGCAGCCACCCGUAACCAUUUUAAAUAAUGUUGAAUUUAAGCUCAGAAUUCUGUGCCUCAUCACAUUUUGCAUCAUGGAAAAACCACCAUCCCCACAACAAGUAAGAAUUGGGUAUUAGGUCAACGGAAAAAAAAACAAUGAAAAUGGUCAACAGCAUUGUUUGAAAAAGAAACAUAUUUUGGGUGGAGUGUGCUGAGGGGAAGGCAAACCUCGGUGGACUGGCUCUGGCUGCACUUGAAAGAGAAGCGCUCAAAUACUCUGUGUGUGGCCUCGUGCUUCGCCACACUUUGCAAUGACCGACAAGAUCCAGGCGCUCCAACUGUAGGAGAUCUAUAACGCAUACUACGGGCGUAGUGGGACAUCAUACAGCUUCGUCAACAUGUCUGCACUUUGUUUGAGGGGAGCAACUGUCAUCAUCUUUGAAAGUUUUUCCUCAGAGGGAGUCCUCUCCUUUGGGCGGGGCUGCCAUGGUCCUGCCUCAUGGCGUCCUCCGUCGCCAUGUGUGGCUCCUCUUGACUGAGGUUCCAUGCUGGCGUCCUGUGGCCGUGGUCUGUUGUCUGAUUUUGGUGCAGACGUCUCCCUGAGAUGGUGUUUCCUCACCUGGCUUCACUUCCCCCGACCAUAGCUAAGGUGAGGAUGACUUCAGAAGACAAACCCCCUACAAUCUACAAAUCCUGAUGGUACAGACUCUGAAAGAAAAUGCAAGUAGGGCAUGAAGGGCAUUUUCAACAUCUCACUGUCCCAUCUCAUCGACGAUCAUUCCUGUUGCGAGGGCCUCGACGUCUCCAUUGGCAGACACCUACCAAUGUGUUAAUAGGACUCCUAUGUGAUGUGUAAUUUAGUUCUGCCUUCGACACAAUCAAUCUGUCAGUGACUUGACAGACUUGGUAGUUCAUUCUGUAAACAGAUCUUGUAUUUUUUUACCCACAGACCCCACAAAGUGUCUCUAAGGAUUAACAACAUAUCAUAGCCUGAGAUCCCAAUGCCUCGCUCAAGGGCACCUCAACCGAGCUCAGGACAAGCAUCCCAAUUGCUAGAUUUUGGAACAGAGCCUUCAAACCCUCCGGUCCACAAAUCCUUACUAACUGAGAUCUUCUCCCGCCCCUAAACAGUUGUCACCAAUGGACAAAUCCCAGGAAAAUAAGACUCGAGCAACAAAUUUCCUUCGCCGGGAUGAAACGGCGCCACUCGUCCAUGGGCAUCCUCUUCCUCUUGGAGCUGACUGACCUUUGAUCAUGAUCCAAAUCCAGACUUUUAGUGCUCAUUUGAAUUGGCAUUCUAAAAUUCAUUGUACUAUACCACCAAAAAAAGACACUGCUGAAACAGUCCACUUAGGCCACAGGCGGGCAGAAGUGACUCUUCAAAGUAGAAGCUUUGUCAUCUCAUUUAACAGCUAAACAUUUUAAAUUGAGCUGACCUUUAAGUGUCCCUUCCCCCUCCUCCUUUCCAUUGAUAUUGGAGGUGAUCUGAAGCGGCUCAUAUGGAAUCAUUCACUGCAGCAGCCAUGUGUAAGAGGAUGCUGGCAAGAGGGAAGUAUUAUAUGUCUUUAUAAUUACCCUACUGUUUUCUUUGGGCUUAUCUGGUCCACUCAUUAAACAAACUAGUUCUUAUCAAAGUGAUGAGAGUUGUACUGGAAACAGAAAUGGAAGUCUUAAACAAAUAUGGCUCCCAGAACUGACCUGGUUUGAGAGUCCAAUUCUCAUGUAUGGAUGAGUCUUUCAUCUUUCAACAGUCAUGGAGCGUACUUGCUUGUCUUCUCUUGGUGAGUCACUUAGAGUGUGUCUCGUGACCUUGAGAAGAAACCUGGUAGCUGAGGACUAUCAUUAGAA